GCCACUGCUUUUUUCUUAGGGAUUCCCCAGAAUCCCAAUAAGUAUAAUCCGCCAAAUUUUUAUUUACCUGUUUUCGUUGAUGUCACCAGAACUUACUCGUAUUGUAAUAUACAGGUACUUCAUGUACCAUGAAAGAUUAUCAUGGUAAUUUCAUUUACGAAAACCUUGUAAUUGUCAUUUCACUUUUGCUAGCAGUUCCUUCUUCAAAGACUGAGGUGGAAAGAUUAUUCAGUGUUCUCAAAUUUAAAAACUGACAAAAGAAACAGGCUUUCUAAUGAAACCCUGAACGGCUUGCUUCAUAGAAAGUUCCCAACUUUGCCAGCAAACAAUUGCUCAAUUUUAGAACCGAACAGUGUUAGGUUGUGCAGCAAAAGAAUAUAAAAGCAAUGCGUCGACUUCCUUGAAAAUUCUAAUCCUAUAGAUCUAUGAUCUUCUGGGGGCGUUUAUAUUAUAUAUACCUACAUUAAAUAAUAUGCUGUGGUUUAUUUUCUGUAUUUUAUUUACGCUUUCUAUAUAAAGGAUUUAUGAAAGUUGUCUAGGAAAUUUUAGGGUAAAUUCAAAAGAAACUAGGGUAAAAUGUGUUAAAAAAAACGUAAGUGGAAACACUGCUUUGAAGUUUUCAAAAUUCCAGGGCCGUAAAACAAUCUCAAAAAAAAAAAAAGUUUUCAAAAUGUCGUAACGAUUUAAUUUUUUAAAUCGUUUUUUUUUGGUCUUGGUGUGAGUUAUUUUACGUUGUAGUAUUAAUUUAGAGCAACUUUUAGCUUUAUGAGAAUAUUAGACGAUUAGACAUUGAGAAACUCUGUUUUGAAUUCUCUUUAGACAUAACUUGGCUCCAAUACUUUUUUCUUCGUUAGCGUUUCGUAAGCCUGUGUAACUAUUUUCAUUUCUUACAGAAAGUUUAUUAUUAAAAAUCAGCAUGCCUCGAAGAUCGAAAAUGAAAUGCUAUUUCGGAUGCCUUGAUAACGGUGAGUUUACACUAUUUUCCCGGUAUAUUAUUUGCUAACAGAAUUAUUAUUCAUAAUAUAAUUAAAUGAAUUAGCACCAACUAAUGGUCCUUCCUAUUUCUGCUGCCUAGCUAUCAUAUAUGUUAAGUUUUGAUCAAAACAGUCGGUAUUAAGUCUCGUACUAUCACACACACACCUCAGAUAAUAAAAUUGUCUCGAGUGGGUGGAAGUAUUUAUGUUUUGCAACUCAGCGUAUUAUAUGCUUAUUGUCAAGUGGGCCCGAACUAGUUUUUUGGAAUGAUCAAUCAGUCAUGCUUUCCUGUUUAAAUAAAAUACAGCACAAUUGAUCUCACAUCCAAAGUUAGAUGAUGGCAUUCACGUUUUGUUUCCUGGUGUUUGAUAACUAAGUUACACCAAGUGGCCUGUGACCACGUUCAUCCUUCUACCCAAUAUAAAAUAAUGUUUUUAUUUUUGUAGACAAAGGUUUGAUAAUGACAAAAUUUUAUGGAAAAAUUAUAAGGAGCACUAAAAUGUCUGAAACAUGAAAAGAUUGAUGCACUAUAUUUGAACCAGAACGUGUUAUGUAAUAUAUUAAUUUAAGAGAAACUGAUUCAGCAAGGAACGUGAACUCUCAAGGGAUCUUAAUUUUUUUUAAAUAUGUUUAUAAUUGAUAAAUUAAUAAUUGAAAUAGUUCAUAAGAACUAAAUUGAUGCCAAUUUUGUUUUAAAAUAGGUUGUUUAGUUCUUAUAGUUAUAGUAUUACGUUUGAAUAGUUGUAAUUAGUAAGUUAGUAAUAUAUGAAAAUACUGAUAUAAAUUUUUGUAAAUAACCUUUUGUAAAUUCUACGAGAAGAUGAUUUUAAUUAAUGAUCAAAAGUCAACGGUCUUUAAAAGCAUUAUUUGCAAUUAUUUAGAUUAACUGUGGAAUAUAUUUGCUAAGUUGUGUUUUCUGUAUGAGCAGAUAUAAAUGAAAAUGCCCAAACAUGAUUAUGUUUCUUACAUUUUCAUUAUGUGAAAUCAAUAUGCUUGUGACUGAGUAUAUUAAUAAUUUAUUAAAACUUAAGUGAUAGACAGCAACCCCUAUGGCACUGCUGAAGUUUAUAAGCACUGGUGACCACUUAUCAUGGGCCGGGUUGCGUGCUCGUCUGCUGUUGAGUGCAAUAAAAAUUUUCGAAACCCUUUCUAUUAUUUAGAUGUAAUAUUAGUGUACAUUUAAUUUGGAUUAAAAGAUAAAUUUACAUUUUAUGUUUGCAUGUGUAUGUUUAUAAUUCAUUUGCAUGUAACGAACACCAGUUUCUUUUGUAACAAAAUGUAAACUAAUGGUUUGUAAUGAAUGUAAUUAACUUUAAGAUGAUUUUCUUUCAAUCUGCUGUUUGUUUCAUCUAGUAUUACCAAAGCUAAA
RNAcentral lists this long non-coding RNA (2344 nucleotides) under Bombyx mandarina (wild silkworm). RNAcentral describes it as "uncharacterized LOC114251846, transcript variant X2". Lineage: Eukaryota; Metazoa; Arthropoda; Insecta; Lepidoptera; Bombycidae. The record is from RNAcentral.